GCUCUGGGAAAAGUGUAUAUGGUACAAGAUGGUAAAAAGUCCCCAUAGGUAGGAAAUAAACUUCAUUUUUGCACACAGGGAGCUGAAGAUAGAAGUCUGUCCAUCUGGGU
Gavialis gangeticus (Gharial) is the source of this 110-nucleotide long non-coding RNA. RefSeq lists it as uncharacterized. The transcript is spliced from 3 exons. The record is from RefSeq and is a predicted model, not a curated record. NCBI's taxonomy places the organism in Eukaryota, Metazoa, Chordata, Crocodylia, Gavialidae.